Molecule: long non-coding RNA, 152 nt
Organism: Drosophila innubila
Lineage: Eukaryota; Metazoa; Arthropoda; Insecta; Diptera; Drosophilidae
Exons: 2
Source: RefSeq, a predicted model, not a curated record
AUUUUUAUUUUUUGUAAAUAACUAUAGCAGUGGUUUUUUGUACCCACAAGCUUAACACAGAAUAUGUCCAUGUGCCUUUGUGAUAUACGUUGGCCAUCCAAACUGUCAUUUUUCCUGACAAUGUGAGCGGCAAGAGGAUGAACAAAUAAAAA